RNAcentral lists this ribosomal RNA (318 nucleotides) under uncultured bacterium. Its description in RNAcentral is "bacterial SSU rRNA". It matches the Rfam family "Bacterial small subunit ribosomal RNA", at positions 28 to 334 of the family's 1533-position model. The record is from RNAcentral.
GACGAACGCUGGCGGCAUGCCUAAUACAUGCAAGUCGAACGCUGAAGCACUCUGCUUGCAGAGUGCGGAUGAGUGGCGAACGGGUGAGUAACACGUGGGAAAUCUGCCUAGGAGUGGGGGAUAACAUUCGGAAACGGAUGCUAAUACCGCAUAUCUUUUUGAACCGCAUGGUUCUUAAACGAAAGACGGCUUCGGCUGUCGCUCUUAGAUGAUCCCGCGGCGUAUUAGUUAGUUGGUGGGGUAAAGGCCUACCAAGACCAUGAUACGUAGCCGACCUGAGAGGGUGAUCGGCCACACUGGGACUGAGACACGGCCCAG